Dermacentor andersoni is the source of this 690-nucleotide long non-coding RNA. RefSeq lists it as uncharacterized. Lineage: Eukaryota; Metazoa; Arthropoda; Arachnida; Ixodida; Ixodidae. The record is from RefSeq and is a predicted model, not a curated record.
CGCGUACGCACUCGGGCAUGGCGUGCUGUUUUGUUCAGCGAGGUAACUGAACCGCUGGUGGUGCUCUCACGAAGACAAGGAUAUGCCGGGCACAAGUGACGUCAGUAUGCGCGUAGCAGCGUCAGCCGUGCGCCAAGACUUGCUGAGGGUCGACAGCCAGUGAGUGUUUGCGCGUGUGCUCGCGCGCUGCGAGUGCGCAUGCUUUCGACCGGCAAGCCCGCGAUGGAAAUGCCCACGGGUCCAGCCCGGAGCUCCACCCCGCGGAGCUAGACUGCGUAUGCCUCGCGUGCACUUUGGCCGAAACGGUUCGACCAUGCGCGUAAGCACAAUGCCGGGGGCUGCCCGCACUCGGCGCGGGAUUUGUCACGGACAUACUGCUCUACCCCUCGGCGUCGUGCCUUGGGUUGCAAAGGACAGCGACGGUCGACACACUGGAAUGUGUUCGGAAGAACCGUCCGACAGCGCAGCAAGGUUCCUGCAGUCAGCGGGCCUUUGGCUCCCUGAGCAGCAGUGACUCCUAACGCACUGUGAACUCCAGCUUCCUGCUGGAUGCGAGCUGUCACAAGCGUUUUGCCGGUGAGCCCUUCACGUGUAACGUCGACAGUGUUUUACCGUGGCCGCCGCUACAUUCUCGUCUGCGUUUCGAAAACCGGUUCUCGAGGCCAAUAAAGUACUGUCGUCUGUUGUGGA